RNAcentral lists this long non-coding RNA (245 nucleotides) under Coffea arabica (coffee). RNAcentral describes it as "long non-coding RNA (CARA_LNC003212)". The record is from RNAcentral. Lineage: Eukaryota; Viridiplantae; Streptophyta; Magnoliopsida; Gentianales; Rubiaceae.
GAGGGUGGUUCUUCACAACUCACCUUAGAAACAAGAGAGAGAGAGCUAGUGGUCACCUUAACUUUCCAAAUAACUUCACCAAUCACCUCAAAAUCACUAAGUGGAGGGGUUUUAUGGAGUAAUUGCAAGAUCAAAUGGUUGGAUGGUUCAACUUGAGCAAGAUUGGAGCCUAAAACUUGAAGAGUUUUCUUUCUUUCUUGAGAGAGAGGGUCGGCCAAGCUUGCAGAAAUUUGGGUGCUUUUUGG